ACUACGGGGUGCAGCAGUAGGGAAUCUUCCACAAUGGGCGCAAGCCUGAUGGAGCAACACCGCGUGAGUGAAGAAGGGUUUCGGCUCGUAAAGCUCUGUUGUUGGAGAAGAACGUGCGUGAGAGUAACUGUUCACGCAGUGACGGUAUCCAACCAGAAAGUCACGGCUAACUACGUGCCAGCAGCCGCGGUAAUACGUAGGUGGCAAGCGUUAUCCGGAUUUGUUGGGCGUAAAGCGAGCGCAGGCGGGUGCUUAGGUCUGAUGUGAACGCCUUCGGCUUAACCGAAGAAGUGCAUCGGAAACCGGGUGACUUGAGUGCAGAAGAGGACAGUGGAACUCCAUGUGUAGCGGUGGAAUGCGUAGAUAUAUGGAAGAACACCAGUGGCGAAGGCGGCUGUCUGGUCUGCAACUGACGCUGAGGCUCGAAAGCAUGGGUAGCGAACAGGAUUAGAUACCCCAGUAGUC
Molecule: ribosomal RNA, 465 nt
Filed under: uncultured bacterium
Lineage: Bacteria
Description: partial 16S ribosomal RNA
Rfam family: Bacterial small subunit ribosomal RNA
Source: RNAcentral